UACGUAGGGUGCAAGCGUUAAUCGGAAUUACUGGGCGUAAAGCGUGCGCAGGUGGUUACGCAAGUCUGAUGUGAAAUCCCCGGGCUCAACCUGGGAACUGCAUUGGAGACUGCGUGGCUAGAGUGUGGCAGAGGGGGGUGGAAUUCCGCGUGUAGCAGUGAAAUGCGUAGAUAUGCGGAGGAACACCAAUGGCGAAGGCAGCCCCCUGGGUUAACACUGACACUCAUGCACGAAAGCGUGGGGAGCAAACAGG
Molecule: ribosomal RNA, 253 nt
Filed under: uncultured bacterium
Lineage: Bacteria
Description: partial 16S ribosomal RNA
Rfam family: Bacterial small subunit ribosomal RNA
Source: RNAcentral